This is a long non-coding RNA of Triticum aestivum (bread wheat), 581 nucleotides long. RefSeq lists it as uncharacterized. NCBI's taxonomy places the organism in Eukaryota, Viridiplantae, Streptophyta, Magnoliopsida, Poales, Poaceae. The transcript has 3 exons. The record is from RefSeq and is a predicted model, not a curated record.
GCGGCGGCCACGACGGCGUGCAUGGCAGCGUCCCUGCAUAGGCGAGAACUUUGUUGGCGUGAGCCUUUUGGUGCAGCGAUUCCUACAGCGCCAACGUUGACGGAAGUAUGCGUACACAGUGGAUAGUCAAAGCAAUUUGAAGUCUACGGCGGAAGAGCAGCGCAGAUUGGAUCUUCUAGGGGUAGAUUGGUUUUGAUUAUGCGAAAAGCUCCUGUCAUCUCCUCCAUGGCAGCAACUCCUCCCCCAAUUAAUUAGCAGCAAAUCGAUCUAUAUACAGGCAUAUUCUUCCUGAUGGUCAACCACGCCUCACAGAUUCUCUCGCUCCGGCAAGAUAUCUUUACUGGAGAUCUUCACAACAUGAGGACGACGGCAACCAUAGACGGCGGCGCGGCCAUGGUGAUCCCCAGUCCACCUGCCCCGGGUCCGGUUUGGCACAAGCCACAGAUGCAAACAUGUUGCUGGGUUGAAGCACACAUGCAUGAACAUAUACUUGGCAACGGAUGAUGCAUAUAUCUGUGCAUUAUCAUGUACUGUUUGUAUAGCAGCUUGCUUUGCAAGUAUGCAUUUUUGUAGUAAUUAUG